This 23-nucleotide non-coding RNA is filed under the name Gallus gallus (chicken). RNAcentral also lists the same sequence under 1 other name. Lineage: Eukaryota; Metazoa; Chordata; Aves; Galliformes; Phasianidae. The record is from RNAcentral.
AGGUUCAGACAUUUGGUGUAUGU